UUGUGAAAGAAAGCGGGUGAAAGUGGCAGAACUGAUCUUGCUUAAAACAACUGAGUUGGCAUGGAGUGGACAGGAGCUCGUUUAAAAGUGACUCGUCAUCCAGCUGAAAGUGAGAAUGAGAAGGCACCCUUGGAAGCUACAAACUGAAGAUGUCAGAGCUGCCCUACUGUCCAGGCCACAUCUGGUAACCAAAAGUCCUUCCUGCCAUGUGCCAUUAGAUACUGCAUCUGUAAUACUCACAAAAGGUGCUUACAUACUUCAGGCAGCAAGUAAUGGGCAAAACUGAAUAAACAAGAAGAAAAGGAAACAAAUGUCUAAGUUUACAAACCCAGGCUGGGUCUUUGGAGAAAGAAAACUGAGGAGGAGGAUGGAUAAGGGCAGCAGCCUGCCGUGCCCUUCCUCGACUGCAGCCCUACUGCUCACAGCACCAGUGGCCUUCCCAGCAAACGGACAGAUGGCAAUUACAGCAAGGUGAUGCCCUGAAAGCUUCCCUUACCCGGACCUUCCAUGAACUUCUACAGGAUGGAUUCAGGAGCAUACAACCCAUCCAAGUUCACCACUGUGACAGGUGCUAGAAGCUUCUAUGAUCGCAUUCUGUGUCUUGUUAUA
Hipposideros armiger (great roundleaf bat) is the source of this 609-nucleotide long non-coding RNA. RefSeq lists it as uncharacterized. The record is from RefSeq and is a predicted model, not a curated record. NCBI's taxonomy places the organism in Eukaryota, Metazoa, Chordata, Mammalia, Chiroptera, Hipposideridae. The transcript is spliced from 5 exons.